Molecule: ribosomal RNA, 513 nt
Filed under: uncultured bacterium
Lineage: Bacteria
Description: bacterial SSU rRNA
Rfam family: Bacterial small subunit ribosomal RNA
Source: RNAcentral
GAUCAUGGCUCAGGAUGAACGCUAGCUACAGGCUUAACACAUGCAAGUCGAGGGGCAUUGAGAAGAAAGCUUGCUUCUUGUCGGCGACCGGCGCACGGGUGAGUAACGCGUAUCCAACCUUCCCCCUUAGUAGAGGAUAGCCCGGCGAAAGUCGGAUUAAUACUCUAUGUUCUUUCUGGAUGGCAUCUGAUGGAAAGCAAAGGUUCACCGCUAAGGGAUGGGGAUGCGUCUGAUUAGCUUGUUGGCGGGUAACGGCCCACCAAGGCGACGAUCAGUAGGGGUUCUGAGAGGAAGGUCCCCCACAUUGGUACUGAGACACGGACCAAACUCCUACGGGAGGCAGCAGUGAGGAAUAUUGGUCAAUGGGCGAGAGCCUGAACCAGCCCAAGUAGCGUGCAGGACGACCGCCCUAUGGGUUGUAAACUGCUUUUAUAGGGGAAUAAAGUGAGGUACGUGUACCUUUUUGUAUGUACCCUAUGAAUAAGGACCGGCUAAUUCCGUGCCAGCCGCCGC